GCUGAACUGGAAGACAGAAUUUGCAUGAGCCUGGGGCUAGGCUCUGGGCACCAACCUCCGGAUGUCCUCAGGGAUCUGUGAGCAGAGAGGCCUGGCUGCAAAGGGUCUGGAGGACGGCCCUUCUGCUAAGGUGUCCGCUCCCAAGGCAGAGGGCUUGGGGGAGCUGGAGGAGGCUGGGUUCCAGGAGGGGUGGCCAGGUAAGUCCUUGGGCCAGUAGGGAAGAAGUCCAACUGUGUACAAACGUUACCUCUGAGCCACACCACUACCCUGCCAGGAGGUUUGAUGUGGUCCCAUUUUACAGAGGGGAAGACUGAGUCUGAUUUCUUCACUCAACAAGUGCUCACUGAAUGCCUGGGAUGCAGCGGUGAACAAAACCAACAAAAGACCCUGCUUUUAUGGAGUUUAUAAUCUGGUGAAGGAUGGGGAGAGAGCAAGAGACAAUUUCGGGUGCUAAGCACAUGCAGAUGAAGAAAAUAAACCAGGAGGGGUGGGGAGAGGGGCUUAUCUGCACAGGCUCCCUCAGCUGAGACCUGAAUGACAGAAGGGGCUGGUGGGCUGGGGAAGGGCCACUCCCACCAGAGGGAAUGGCGAAUGCUAAGGCCCUGCAGCGGGAGCGACCCUGUGUGUAUGAGGAACAGAAAGGCCAGUAUGGGUGCGCAGUGAUGGGGGAGCAGUCAGUGAUGCAGUCAAGAGGUCGGUGAGGCAAGAUCAGGUAGAGACUCACAGGCCACUUAAAGGAAUUUGGAUUUUGCUUUAAAUGUACCAGGAAUGCGCAUUUUUGAGGGGAGGGGUGGGGAGAGACAGAGAGAGGAGGCUGGGCACAGUGGCUCACAUCUGUAAUCUCAGCACUUUAGGAUGCCAAAGUGGGAGGAUCACUUGAGGUCAGGAAACCAGCCUGGCCAACAUGUCAAAACCCCGUCUCUACCAAAAAUACAAAAAUUAGCCGGGCGUGGUAGUGGGUGGCCUAUAAACCCAUCUACUUGAGAGGCUGGGGCAGGAGAAUCACUUGAGCCCGGGAGGUGGUUGCACUCCAGCCUGCGCAACAGAGGGAGAUUCCAUCUCAAAAAAAAAAAAAGAGAGAGAGAAAGAGAAAGAGAGAGACAUGACCUGAUUUUCGUUUUCAGUAGACGCCCCUGGCCGCCGCGUGGAGACUGGGCUGUGGGGGCAGAGGAGUGGAGAGACUAGCCAGGAGGCUGCAGCUGCGGUUUCACUCUACUCCCCACGGCCCGAUGAGGGGAGACAAAGACAGAACUCAAGGAUGGACUUGGUUUGGGACUUGAGCGACUGGGUCCAUGCAGGUGUCCUUGCCUGAGGCAAGGAUGGUUUGAGCCAGGGCACCCAGCCGGAGCUGGCUAGACUCCCUUUCUCCCGUGCCGCCCACCCCACAGAAGGCCCGGAGCGUUCAUGCUGGCAUUCAGGGACCUCCACACCCCUCCCUCCUCUUGCCUCUCCAUUUUGACCUCACGCUGCUCCCCAUGGCCACAGAGCUCUUGUCUCUCUCUCCUGACAUGCCAUGCUCAGUCCCAGCUCCAGACCUUUGCUCACGCUGCUCCUGCCUGAGGGCCCUUCCUCCUCCCUUGGCCUGAGUGGAGGCCUGAGAAGGGCUUUAUAGAGCAGUGGCUCUCAAGCUAGCACCUGCCUGGAUUUGAAUUCCAGCACGACCACCUCCUAGCAUGUGAUCCUAAGCACGUUCCUUAACAGGACUCAAUUUCUUCAUCUGCCAAGUAAGAGUGAAAAUAUAAGUGCUGACCAUGUGGGGUAGUUGCAGGAUUAAAGAAGAAGCACUCAUUCGUUUCACUCUGGGAACAAGAGAAAUGUCAACCUGGUUAGCCAGUGUUACUUCCUAGUGGCACAGAAAUGGCAUGAGGGACUGGGCACGGGGGCCCACGCCUGUAAUCCCAGCACUUUGGGAGGCUGAGGUGGGAGGAUUACUUGAGCUCAGGAAUUCGAGACCAGCCUGGGCAACACAGGGAAACCCUGUUUCUAGAAAAAAUUAAAAAAUUAGCCAGGUGUGGUGGUGCACACCUGUGGUCCCAGCUACUCUGGAGGCUGAGGUGGGAGGAUCACUUGAGCCUGAGAGGUUGAAGCUGCAGUAAGUGGUGAUUGCACCACUGCACUCCACCUGGGCAACACAGCAAGACCCUGUCUCAAAAAAUAAAAUAUAAAAUAAAAAAUUUUUUAAAGCCUGGAGAA
RNAcentral lists this long non-coding RNA (2193 nucleotides) under Homo sapiens (human). Its description in RNAcentral is "HSALNT0384529". The record is from RNAcentral. Lineage: Eukaryota; Metazoa; Chordata; Mammalia; Primates; Hominidae.